Small nuclear RNA from Pteronotus mesoamericanus, 186 nucleotides. RefSeq annotates it as U2 spliceosomal RNA. NCBI's taxonomy places the organism in Eukaryota, Metazoa, Chordata, Mammalia, Chiroptera, Mormoopidae. The transcript has a single exon. The record is from RefSeq and is a predicted model, not a curated record.
AUCGAUUCUUGGCCUUUUGGCUAAGAUCAGAUGUAGUAUCUCUUCUUACCAUUUUAGUAUCUGAUAUGUCCUCUAUCCAAGAACAUUAAAUGGAUUUUUGGAGGUGGGAGAUGGCAUGGGAGCUUGUUCUAUCCACUCUGCGCAUCAACCCACUAUUGCAGUACUUCAGGGAACUGUGCACCAAAA